GACGAACACUGGCGGCGUGCUUAACACAUGCAAGUCGAACGGAAAGGCCCUGCUUUUGUGGGGUGCUCGAGUGGCGAACGGGUGAGUAACACGUGAGUAACCUGCCCUUGACUUUGGGAUAACUUCAGGAAACUGGGGCUAAUACCGGAUAGGAGCUCCUGCUGCAUGGUGGGGGUUGGAAAGUUUCGGCGGUUGGGGAUGGACUCGCGGCUUAUCAGCUUGUUGGUGGGGUAGUGGCUUACCAAGGCUUUGACGGGUAGCCGGCCUGAGAGGGUGACCGGCCACAUUGGGACUGAGAUACGGCCCGGACUCCUACGGGAGGCAGCAGUGGGGAAUAUUGCACAAUGGGCGGAAGCCUGAUGCAGCAACGCCGCGUGCGGGAUGACGGCCUUCGGGUUGUAAACCGCUUUCGCCUGUGACGAAGCGUGAGUGACGGUAAUGGGUAAAGAAGCACCGGCUAACUACGUG
Molecule: ribosomal RNA, 468 nt
Filed under: uncultured bacterium
Lineage: Bacteria
Description: partial 16S ribosomal RNA
Rfam family: Bacterial small subunit ribosomal RNA
Source: RNAcentral